UACAGAGGGUGCGAGCGUUAAUCGGAAUUACUGGGCGUAAAGCGCACGUAGGCGGCUUUGUAAGUCAGAGGUGAAAUCCCGGAGCUCAACUCCGGAACUGCCUUUGAGACUGCAUCGCUUGAAUCCAGGAGAGGUGAAUGGAAUUCCGAGUGUAGAGGUGAAAUUCGUAGAUAUUCGGAAGAACACCAGUGGCGAAGGCGGCUCACUGGACUGGAUAUUGACGCUGAGGUGCGAAGCGUGGGGAGCAAAACAGGAUUGAGAU
RNAcentral lists this ribosomal RNA (262 nucleotides) under uncultured bacterium. RNAcentral describes it as "partial 16S ribosomal RNA". It matches the Rfam family "Bacterial small subunit ribosomal RNA", at positions 524 to 783 of the family's 1533-position model. The record is from RNAcentral.